This 126-nucleotide small RNA is filed under the name Salmonella enterica subsp. enterica. RNAcentral's name for it is "RtT sRNA". It matches the Rfam family "RtT RNA". Rfam says of the family: This family represents a bacterial cis-regulatory element known as RtT RNA. The record is from RNAcentral. RNAcentral also lists the same sequence under 3 other names. Lineage: Bacteria; Pseudomonadati; Pseudomonadota; Gammaproteobacteria; Enterobacterales; Enterobacteriaceae.
UUGCUAUCUGCGAUAUGGAAGAUUCGAACCUGCCGCAGGUUCGGGUCUCACGCAGUGAGACAACGGAGCCGUUUACGGCGACGGCCCGAAGGGCGAGCAAAGCGAGUCAUCCUGCACGACCCACCA